UCGACGCCACGUCCACGCGCACGCCGACACCCAUGGUCGACGACACCGCGACCUUGCGCAGGUAGAUGCCCUUGCUG
This 77-nucleotide transfer RNA is filed under the name Methylibium petroleiphilum PM1. RNAcentral's name for it is "tRNA-Arg". Lineage: Bacteria; Pseudomonadati; Pseudomonadota; Betaproteobacteria; Burkholderiales; Sphaerotilaceae. The record is from RNAcentral.